This 254-nucleotide ribosomal RNA is filed under the name uncultured bacterium. RNAcentral describes it as "partial 16S ribosomal RNA". It matches the Rfam family "Bacterial small subunit ribosomal RNA", at positions 524 to 776 of the family's 1533-position model. The record is from RNAcentral.
UACGUAGGGUGCGAGCGUUAAUCGGAUUUACUGGGCGUAAAGGGCGCGUAGGCGGCCAGUGCAAGUCAGUUGUGAAAUCUCCGAGCUUAACUCGGAAAGGUCAACUGAUACUGCUCGGCUAGAGUGCGGAAGGGGCAACUGGAAUUCUUGGUGUAGCGGUGAAAUGCGUAGAUAUCAAGAGGAACACCUGCGGCGAAGGCGGGUUGCUGGGCCGACACUGACGCUGAAGCGCGAAAGCUAGGGGAGCGAACGGG